UUUACCCUGCGGUGUUCGCUAACAUACCAAAAAGAGCCUGAACUGACAUUCGCUAAUGUAAAGGGGCGAGUACAAGGUGGUUGUGCAGGCCCGUCUUCGAGCGGGAAGCCUUAAAAUCUUGCAAGCCUUAUUUUUAGGAUUCUGAGUUUAGACCAUUAAGUAUCUACGGCACCAGCAGGGCCCCA
Molecule: non-coding RNA, 185 nt
Filed under: bacterium
Lineage: Bacteria
Description: 6S RNA
Rfam family: 6S / SsrS RNA
About the family: E. coli 6S RNA was the first non coding RNA to be sequenced, but its function was unknown until recently. It consists of 184 nucleotides that fold into an extended hairpin structure with a large single-stranded internal bulge.
Source: RNAcentral